UUAAGUUAUUAAGGGCGCACGGUGGAUGCCUUGGCACUAGAAGCCGAUGAAGGACGUUACUAACGACGAUAUGCUUUGGGGAGCUGUAAGUAAGCUUUGAUCCAGAGAUUUCCGAAUGGGGAAACCCAGCAUGAGUUAUGUCAUGUUAUCGAUAUGUGAAUACAUAGCAUAUCAGAAGGCACACCCGGAGAACUGAAACAUCUUAGUACCCGGAGGAAGAGAAAGAAAAUUCGAUUCCCUUAGUAGCGGCGAGCGAAACGGGAAGAGCCCAAACCAACAAGCUUGCUUGUUGGGGUUGUAGGACACUCUAUACGGAGUUACAAAGGACGACAUUAGACGAAUCAUCUGGAAAGAUGAAUCAAAGAAGGUAAUAAUCCUGUAGUCGAAAAUGUUGUCUCUCUUGAGUGGAUCCUGAGUACGACGGAGCACGUGAAAUUCCGUCGGAAUCUGGGAGGACCAUCUCCUAAGGCUAAAUACUCUCUAGUGACCGAUAGUGAACCAGUACCGUGAGGGAAAGGUGAAAAGCACCCCGGAAGGGGAGUGAAAUAGAACCUGAAACCGUGUGCUUACAAGUAGUCAGAGCCCGUUAAUGGGUGAUGGCGUGCCUUUUGUAGAAUGAACCGGCGAGUUACGAUUUGAUGCAAGGUUAAGCAGUAAAUGUGGAGCCGUAGCGAAAGCGAGUCUGAAUAGGGCGUUUAGUAUUUGGUCGUAGACCCGAAACCAGGUGAUCUACCCUUGGUCAGGUUGAAGUUCAGGUAACACUGAAUGGAGGACCGAACCGACUUACGUUGAAAAGUGAGCGGAUGAACUGAGGGUAGCGGAGAAAUUCCAAUCGAACCUGGAGAUAGCUGGUUCUCUCCGAAAUAGCUUUAGGGCUAGCCUCAAGUGAUGAUUAUUGGAGGUAGAGCACUGUUUGGACGAGGGGCCCCUCUCGGGUUACCGAAUUCAGACAAACUCCGAAUGCCAAUUAAUUUAACUUGGGAGUCAGAACAUGGGUGAUAAGGUCCGUGUUCGAAAGGGAAACAGCCCAGACCACCAGCUAAGGUCCCAAAAUAUAUGUUAAGUGGAAAAGGAUGUGGCGUUGCCCAGACAACUAGGAUGUUGGCUUAGAAGCAGCCAUCAUUUAAAGAGUGCGUAAUAGCUCACUAGUCGAGUGACACUGCGCCGAAAAUGUACCGGGGCUAAACAUAUUACCGAAGCUGUGGAUUGUCCUUUGGACAAUGGUAGGAGAGCGUUCUAAGGGCGUUGAAGCAUGAUCGUAAGGACAUGUGGAGCGCUUAGAAGUGAGAAUGCCGGUGUGAGUAGCGAAAGACGGGUGAGAAUCCCGUCCACCGAUUGACUAAGGUUUCCAGAGGAAGGCUCGUCCGCUCUGGGUUAGUCGGGUCCUAAGCUGAGGCCGACAGGCGUAGGCGAUGGAUAACAGGUUGAUAUUCCUGUACCACCUAUAAUCGUUUUAAUCGAUGGGGGGACGCAGUAGGAUAGGCGAAGCGUGCGAUUGGAUUGCACGUCUAAGCAGUAAGGCUGAGUAUUAGGCAAAUCCGGUACUCGUUAAGGCUGAGCUGUGAUGGGGAGAAGACAUUGUGUCUUCGAGUCGUUGAUUUCACACUGCCGAGAAAAGCCUCUAGAUAGAAAAUAUGUGCCCGUACCGCAAACCGACACAGGUAGUCAAGAUGAGAAUUCUAAGGUGAGCGAGCGAACUCUCGUUAAGGAACUCGGCAAAAUGACCCCGUAACUUCGGGAGAAGGGGUGCUCUUUAGGGUUAACGCCCAGAAGAGCCGCAGUGAAUAGGCCCAAGCGACUGUUUAUCAAAAACACAGGUCUCUGCUAAACCGUAAGGUGAUGUAUAGGGGCUGACGCCUGCCCGGUGCUGGAAGGUUAAGAGGAGUGGUUAGCUUCUGCGAAGCUACGAAUCGAAGCCCCAGUAAACGGCGGCCGUAACUAUAACGGUCCUAAGGUAGCGAAAUUCCUUGUCGGGUAAGUUCCGACCCGCACGAAAGGCGUAACGAUUUGGGCACUGUCUCAACGAGAGACUCGGUGAAAUCAUAGUACCUGUGAAGAUGCAGGUUACCCGCGACAGGACGGAAAGACCCCGUGGAGCUUUACUGUAGCCUGAUAUUGAAAUUCGGCACAGCUUGUACAGGAUAGGUAGGAGCCUUUGAAACGUGAGCGCUAGCUUACGUGGAGGCGCUGGUGGGAUACUACCCUAGCUGUGUUGGCUUUCUAACCCGCACCACUUAUCGUGGUGGGAGACAGUGUCAGGCGGGCAGUUUGACUGGGGCGGUCGCCUCCUAAAAGGUAACGGAGGCGCUCAAAGGUUCCCUCAGAAUGGUUGGAAAUCAUUCAUAGAGUGUAAAGGCAUAAGGGAGCUUGACUGCGAGACCUACAAGUCGAGCAGGGUCGAAAGACGGACUUAGUGAUCCGGUGGUUCCGCAUGGAAGGGCCAUCGCUCAACGGAUAAAAGCUACCCCGGGGAUAACAGGCUUAUCUCCCCCAAGAGUUCACAUCGACGGGGAGGUUUGGCACCUCGAUGUCGGCUCAUCGCAUCCUGGGGCUGUAGUCGGUCCCAAGGGUUGGGCUGUUCGCCCAUUAAAGCGGUACGCGAGCUGGGUUCAGAACGUCGUGAGACAGUUCGGUCCCUAUCCGUCGUGGGCGUAGGAAAUUUGAGAGGAGCUGUCCUUAGUACGAGAGGACCGGGAUGGACAUACCUCUGGUGUACCAGUUGUCGUGCCAACGGCAUAGCUGGGUAGCUAUGUGUGGACGGGAUAAGUGCUGAAAGCAUCUAAGCAUGAAGCCCCCCUCAAGAUGAGAUUUCCCAACUUCGGUUAUAAGAUCCCUCAAAGAUGAUGAGGUUAAUAGGUUCGAGGUGGAAGCAUGGUGACAUGUGGAGCUGACGAAUACUAAUCGAUCGAAGACUUAAUCAA
RNAcentral lists this ribosomal RNA (2921 nucleotides) under Staphylococcus aureus M1134. RNAcentral's name for it is "bacterial LSU rRNA". It matches the Rfam family "Bacterial large subunit ribosomal RNA". Lineage: Bacteria; Bacillati; Bacillota; Bacilli; Caryophanales; Staphylococcaceae. The record is from RNAcentral.